Molecule: RNase P RNA, 454 nt
Filed under: Candidatus Omnitrophota bacterium
Lineage: Bacteria; Pseudomonadati; Candidatus Omnitrophota
Description: RNase P RNA component class A
Rfam family: Bacterial RNase P class A
About the family: Ribonuclease P (RNase P) is a ubiquitous endoribonuclease, found in archaea, bacteria and eukarya as well as chloroplasts and mitochondria. Its best characterised activity is the generation of mature 5'-ends of tRNAs by cleaving the 5'-leader elements of precursor-tRNAs.
Source: RNAcentral
GGGUCCGAGGGGACCAUCGCUGCCCGGGGGGCGUUUAAGUCCGCCGGGGGGAGGAAAGUCCGGACCGCGACAGGCCGGGGCGCUGGGUAACUCCCAGGGGCGUGGGGCGUAAGCCCCUCGCUACGGAAAGCGCAACAGAAAACAGACCGCCGGGUCGGCUUGCCGGCUGUUGGAACGAGGCGGGAGCCACGUUCCAGCACCUACAAGUUCCAGCAAGCCGACUCGGUAAGGGUGAAAUGGCGGGGUAAGAGCCCACCAGCGGGGGGGAGACCCUCCGGCUUUGCAAGCCCCGCCCGCGGCAAGACCAAAUAGGGGACGAGGGUUGGCCUGUCCCGUUUGAAGUCCCGGGUUGGUCGCUCGAGCCCGAUGGAAACGUCGGGCCUAGAUGAAUGAUGGUCGCCCCUCCCCUCAACGGGAGGGGUCACAGAAUCCGGCUUACACCUCGGACCCGCUU